RNAcentral lists this ribosomal RNA (165 nucleotides) under uncultured bacterium. Its description in RNAcentral is "partial 16S rRNA". It matches the Rfam family "Bacterial small subunit ribosomal RNA", at positions 355 to 511 of the family's 1533-position model. The record is from RNAcentral.
UAGGGAAUCUUCGGCAAUGGGGGCAACCCUGACCGAGCAACGCCGCGUGAGUGAAGGAGGUUUUCGGAUCGUAAAGCUCUGUUGUAAGAGAAGAACGUGUGUGAGAGUGGAAAGUUCACACAGUGACGGUAACUUACCAGAAAGGGACGGCUAACUACGCGCCAG